Molecule: microRNA precursor, 83 nt
Filed under: Tursiops truncatus (common bottlenose dolphin)
Lineage: Eukaryota; Metazoa; Chordata; Mammalia; Artiodactyla; Delphinidae
Description: miRNA (ENSTTRG00000022124.1)
Source: RNAcentral
AUCACCUGGGGAUCUUGUUAAACAGUAGUUUCUGAUUUAGUAGGGGCCCACAUUCUGCAUUUCUAACAAGUUCCCCAGUAAUG